GACGAACGCUGGCGGCGCGCUUAACACAUGCAAGUCGAGCGAAGCGGCGGACGGGUGAGUAACACGUGAGUAACCUGCCUUAGACAUUGGGAUAGCCUCGGGAAACCGGGAUUAAUACCAAAUGGUCUAAGAUGGACUCGCGUCCCAUUAGCUAGUUGGUGGGUAACGGCCCACCAAGGCGACGAGGGGUAGCCGGACUGAGAGGGUGACCGGCCACAUGGGAACUGAGAAACGGUCCAAACUCUACGGGAGGCAGCAGUUGGGGAUAUUGCACAAUGGGCGCAAGCCUGAUGCAGCGACGCCGCGUGAGGGAUGAAGGCUUUCGGGUUGUAAACCUCUUUCGGUACAGAACGGGUAUGUGCAGAAGAAGCGCCGGCUAACUACGUGCCAGCAGCCGCGGUAAUUC
Molecule: ribosomal RNA, 406 nt
Filed under: uncultured bacterium
Lineage: Bacteria
Description: partial 16S ribosomal RNA
Rfam family: Bacterial small subunit ribosomal RNA
Source: RNAcentral